CUAAAUUCCAAUUCCAGAUACAAGCAAAUUAAUAGUGUCAAACAGCAUUCCAAGAGUGAUGAUAAACAAAAGCAAAGAGACGAGUAUUGCAAUAUUCUGGCUGGUACCAACGAAAAUUCAAUUACUCACAAUCUUCAUUUCAUUGGUAGAAUCAGUAGAAGAUUUAUGGUCUAAUCCAUUCAAUCAACCCCAAAAGAUAGAAAUGACAAUGGAUGUAGGAUGGAUUCUGAUAUAUCCACACCCACCCAUCUUAUUUCAAGUUGGGGUGAG
RNAcentral lists this unclassified non-coding RNA (270 nucleotides) under Hevea brasiliensis (rubber tree). Lineage: Eukaryota; Viridiplantae; Streptophyta; Magnoliopsida; Malpighiales; Euphorbiaceae. The record is from RNAcentral.